AAGACUAUACUUUCAGGAAUCAUUUCUAUAGUUACUGACUAUAGGAAAUGUGAUUUGAAAGUGUUAUGUCUCUUUAACCAUGACGAUGAGCUGUGAUGUUUCUUUCUGAGCAUGAAUCAGAUGAAGAGGAAUGAUUUAUUCAUCUGCUCUUCAUCAUUGAUGAAUGUUCUGACUGUUUCUAACAGUUUAGAUGAAGGAAACAUGUUCAGAGUGGU
Trichomycterus rosablanca is the source of this 215-nucleotide small nucleolar RNA. RefSeq annotates it as small nucleolar RNA U3. NCBI's taxonomy places the organism in Eukaryota, Metazoa, Chordata, Actinopteri, Siluriformes, Trichomycteridae. The record is from RefSeq and is a predicted model, not a curated record. The transcript has a single exon.